RNAcentral lists this ribosomal RNA (252 nucleotides) under uncultured bacterium. RNAcentral's name for it is "partial 16S ribosomal RNA". It matches the Rfam family "Bacterial small subunit ribosomal RNA", at positions 524 to 776 of the family's 1533-position model. The record is from RNAcentral.
UACGGAGGAUGCGAGCGUUAUCCGGAUUUAUUGGGUUUAAAGGGUGCGUAGACGGUCCGUUAAGUCAGCGGUAAAAUUGCGGGGCUCAACCCCGUCGAGCCGUUGAAACUGGCAGACUUGAGUUGGCGAGAAGUACGCGGAAUGCGCGGUGUAGCGGUGAAAUGCAUAGAUAUCGCGCAGAACUCCGAUUGCGAAGGCAGCGUACCGGCGCCAGACUGACGCUGAAGCACGAAAGCGUGGGUAUCGAACAGG